This 235-nucleotide long non-coding RNA is filed under the name Brassica napus (rape). RNAcentral's name for it is "long non-coding RNA (BNAP_LNC010870)". The record is from RNAcentral. Lineage: Eukaryota; Viridiplantae; Streptophyta; Magnoliopsida; Brassicales; Brassicaceae.
UCGUCCCCACGUUUCUUGUUCUUCCACUUCCGCUAUCCUCUCAUUCCCAUCGUCUUCUUCCAAGAUGUCUGGCAAGAUUUGUGCUAGUUUUCAUGUUGUAGCUUUUGAGACCGCUAGUUGCAGGGUAUCCAAAGGCGAUGUAUCCUUGUUAUUAAAACAUUUAUCGUUUUGUGCCUUCCAUAAGUACCCGAUCAACCAUGGAAAGAAGAACGUGCUCUCUGUGUUGCUAGGGUCU